Molecule: long non-coding RNA, 329 nt
Organism: Labeo rohita (rohu)
Lineage: Eukaryota; Metazoa; Chordata; Actinopteri; Cypriniformes; Cyprinidae
Exons: 2
Source: RefSeq, a predicted model, not a curated record
ACUGAGGAGAUUAGAGGCAGAAUUUUUAAUGUAGUGUUAGUAUUAGCAGCUGGAGAGCAAAAGAAUUUUUAAUAGUCAAACAGGAAUACCAAGGUAAGUGCAAGCUAGACUGGAGAUCCUAAGCAACUAACUCCUGCUCUGGACCAGCUAAGGACCAGCACAUAAUCAGCUUAAACCAGCUCAUUAACAGUUAACUCUUCUGUGCUGAGGGACACGUUAGAGGCAUUUCACCCGAUGGUUAAUCGAUCAGCGUCUCCUCAGUCCUCAUUCAAUCCAUCACGUGCUUGAACGCGUCCAACCAGCUGUUCAAACACUCUAAACCUGGUAAA